This is a long non-coding RNA of Neltuma alba, 794 nucleotides long. RefSeq lists it as uncharacterized. The record is from RefSeq and is a predicted model, not a curated record. The transcript is spliced from 2 exons. Lineage: Eukaryota; Viridiplantae; Streptophyta; Magnoliopsida; Fabales; Fabaceae.
AGGGGUGUUUAGUAGUGCAAUAUCUGCAUAUUUUUGGUUCUUGAUUUCUCUUUGAUGAGCGAUCGAGAUUGAGAAAGAGAGAGGAUUUGAUGAAUCAUGGGAGGGAGAUGAAAGAAGGAAAGGCGGCGCAGGGAAUGAAGCUCGAUCCGAAAUCAUUGUCUCUACUAACGUGCCUUGCUGCAUGAGAGAAAUGGAAAGUUUGAUCCAAGAUCUUAUCUUUCUACUUCUUAUAAUUUGUUAAUUAUUAUUACAAUCAUUAAUUACGAUUACAACUAUAUAUAAAAAAUAGUGUGUUUCUGUGUGUGUAUUUAUAUAUGGCUCUGAUGCAUGGGAAGGGACUGAUUUCGGACCAGGCUUCAUUCUCACGCCCAGCUUUUCCUAUAUAUAAACAAGCAAGCAGCAACUAUGAAAGAGAAAAUAAAAUAGACGGGAGGAAGGGCUCAUUUAAUGAAGAAAAGGAUGGGCUGGACAAGAGGCCCAGUUAUUGACUCGUCGAUGCCAAAUGAGGCAAUCUGGGGAAUUCUGGAAUGGUUAAUAACGAGGUAACAGGCACAUUCAACAAUUCUGCUCGGCUCAUUUGGAGAAUUGGCUUCAAAAAUGUUAUUGUUGAGACUGAUUCUAAAGCCUUGCUGGAAAAUUUUGAAGAACAUAGAUCAUCUGAGGAAUGGUAGUCCAAUCUUCAUUCAGAUUUUAAAGAGAACGUUGAAUGUUUUCGCAGCAGAACAGUGUUUUACUGCAUGUUAUUUUUCAUGGAAGAUAAAUGGAGAGAAAUUUUAGUGGAUUUUAAAAAGACA